AAUCAUUAGCCUCUUAAUUAGAGGCUAGAAUGAAUGGUUUAACAUUUCCUUAACUUUUUUAAAGAUUUUCAAAAAAUUUAUAUUAAAUAUAAAAAUAUAUUUAUAUCCUAAUUAGACGACAAGACCCUUUCAAACUUUACUGAAGUUUAGCUGGGGUAGCUUAAUAAUUAAUAUCUUAUUAUUUACAAUAAAAAUAGACCCAAUUCAAAUUGAUUAAAUGAACAAGUUACUGAAGGGAUAACAGCAUAAUAAAUUUAUAUAGCUCUUAUUUAAAAAUUAGUUUAUGACCUCGAUGUUGAAUUAUUUUACUUACACACGCAAGAGCGUGUAAAGUAGGUCUGUUCGACCUUUAAAUUUU
RNAcentral lists this ribosomal RNA (358 nucleotides) under Tetragnatha sp. RNAcentral's name for it is "partial large subunit ribosomal RNA". It matches the Rfam family "Archaeal large subunit ribosomal RNA", at positions 2040 to 2668 of the family's 2987-position model. The record is from RNAcentral. Lineage: Eukaryota; Metazoa; Arthropoda; Arachnida; Araneae; Tetragnathidae.